AACCCUCAAACCCCCGGGUUUGGUGUUGGAGAUCGGUUAGCUUUCCUGCUUACCGGCUCCGAAAUCUAGUGGCGGUCUCGCUGCAGCCUCCAUUGCGUAGUAGAUAACACCUCGCAACUGGAACGCGGCGCGGCCAAGCCGUUAAACCCCCAACUUCUGUUGACCU
This 166-nucleotide ribosomal RNA is filed under the name Fusarium oxysporum. RNAcentral's name for it is "5.8S ribosomal RNA". The record is from RNAcentral. Lineage: Eukaryota; Fungi; Ascomycota; Sordariomycetes; Hypocreales; Nectriaceae.